CGGGUCAAGAAAACCCGACCUAAGAUCCGUUGGAUCGACUCUUCAACCUUGAAACACGCGGAAUGGCGUUUCCAACACCUUGAGAGGGUCAACCGACCUUUGGGCAGUGAGAAAUCUUGGCUCUCAUUCAUGGCCAUUAAACUCUAUUAAAGAAUUAAACAGAAGAGGAAUAUCGUUCAAGCUUGAACGUCUCUUCCACCUUCCCUUACUCAGAUUUUAAAGCCAGCGAAUAUUAUUCAAUCGGUAAUGGUUAAAACAUUUUCAUCCUCAUCUAAAUCUCCCCUUCUCCACUCAGCGGUAUUUAUCGGAACACAGGGAAAGUCAAAGAUUAUUGUCGUCGCAAAAGAAAUAGAUCUACAUUUGUAAACUCAAUGGUAAACUACUAUGAAACUCUAUCAGCAAAAAUUGGAAGAAACUCAAUCAAUACAGGCAAUUCAAAGCGGAAUCGAAUCACAAAUCACGCAGAAAGAAAAGGAAAAUCAUGCAUUCAUUCGGUCAUUACCAAAACUACGCAGGGCAAGGAGUGCAGAGUAGAGCUUUUACCAACUCGAAACCUCGCGAAGAUGAAUGAGCGGGUGUGUAUCUUCUGUUUUAUCCCGGCUCCUUGAUCUUUCUUGGCUUCAAGGGGAUUCCAGCAGCUUAACAGUGCAAAAUUUCUCCUCCUUUUUUCGGUGAUUGCGUGCCUCUCUUUAUAGAACUCAGAACAUACUCCCUCUAAUCGUGAGUUGGCCAGGUUUCUCCAAAUCAUUCGGUUAGAAUGAAAUCUUUUUUUCAAAUCUAGUGUGGUCCCCAAGUUCUCGCAGGUGGAAAGAUAAGUUGGCUUCAUUCGUUAGACCCUAUGGAAUGCACGUAACCGUUCUUAAUGGCUUCCCUCUUUUUUCCGCGCUAAGACCUGUGUUUUGUUAUGGUGAGAAUUUCGAUUUAUUAUCCAAGAAAGUUUUGAAACACUUCUAGGACCCCACCACAUCUCAGCUGCUGCAGCACGAGUCCUGGCUCAUAUGAUCUAGGUGAUUGGAGAUUAUUGGGCUUGAUGCAACGAAUAAAAUGAGGUGUGGUAUUCUCUAAACGUUGCAUUAGUUGAAACACUUGUCCCUUGAAUUUUGUGGCAACACUUAGCUUUUGGGAAUCUGCCCCAUUUAACUUGUGCAAGGGACCAACUACAGGCUUCCUAGAUUGAGUGAGCAUAUAGGAUGCAAAUAUCUGAGGAAGAUGACAUUUGCUUGAGGGUAGAAGUUGGCUGGAAUCCAUGUGCAAGAGGUCCCUGUUCUUUUCUAAGAAUGCAGUUGUCUCAUAAGUGACCUCUCCUACAUAAUGACGCAAGGUUGGUAAUUUGGGACUUUUUUCUUGGGACUUUUGGGUUUGAUCUGAUAUGCGACUUACCGCAGGUUUUGCUGUGACCACCGAUGUAUUGCAGAGUACUGAUUAUCUUACAUAUGUGUAAGCAUGCGGCAAGCUUCCAAGAGGAUUAACAGUGUUGCAGGUCUUGGUCGUACUGAUGUUCAUGUUUUUGCAUUUUGAGAUUGUGCUGCAUAUUUAAAGCAAGUUAGGUGACGAAUUUCGUGGGCCCUAUCCUUGAUUACCAGUUCAUGACUCAGUCUCAGCCGAACUUCAAACAGAUGUGCCCUCCGCGGCGCUCACAUGACUACUUGGAUUGUACAAGCGGAACCAAAUGGUGGUUCUGAUGAUUUCCGCUGAGAAGAUGCGGUAUGAACAACUUCUAACACACUAGCUAGAUCCAUGGAACUUUGCGAUAUCAAGGGGUUUGUAUUGACUUGCGAAGCACCAUUUCUAGGUUGUUGAUCAGUUGCGCUUAAUGACUCGGAAUGCACCUGCAGUUGGUGAUGGUUUGGGAGCAACAACAGCAGGCUGUGUUGGUUUAGCUGAACCAAAUAGUGUAACUGGUGGAUUGAGUGGUUGGCUUGGAUUUGAACUGCAUCCAGAACAUGGAGCUUGACUUUUCAUCCUUUGCGUGAUUUGAUCGCCUUCUGCCUUUCCUUUUCCAGGCAGAUUGGAAUUUAUGACGUGGUUUUGCCGUUUGUGGUAGUUUUGUAGGUUACAGCUUAUGCUUUAGAAGCGUUGUAGUGUUUAUCGGAUGUUAAAGCCUCCAUUGGUUCAAUAUAUAAUAAUUAUUAUUGGAAUGGAAUGAAAAUCUUGCAGCCUUGGGUUUCUUUGUAAUAUAACUUGGAUUAAUGAAUCUUUGUAAUAUUCCUUUGAAUAAAUGAAACGUUUUCUCUUUUUCCUCU
This is a long non-coding RNA of Lathyrus oleraceus (garden pea), 2243 nucleotides long. RefSeq lists it as uncharacterized. The record is from RefSeq and is a predicted model, not a curated record. Lineage: Eukaryota; Viridiplantae; Streptophyta; Magnoliopsida; Fabales; Fabaceae. The transcript is spliced from 5 exons.